AACGCACCUUGCACCCUCUGGUAUUCCGGAGGGUAUGCCUGUUUGAGUGUCAUUAAUCUCUCAACGCAACAAGUUUAUUCUUGCUUGUGCUUGGAUGUUGAAGGCUGCCGGCGUCAUUGUCAGCUCCUUUUAAAUGUAUUAGCAGGACUAUGUAGGACCAGCUUCGGUUUGAUAAUACUUUUAUCUAUGCUGUCGCUGAGAAUCGUUUGUUCAGCUUCUAACUGUCCCCUUUGUGGGACUGUCUCCUUGCUGAGGCAUAACCUUGACUCUUGACCUCAAAUCAGGUAGGACUACCCGCUGAACUUAA
Molecule: unclassified non-coding RNA, 307 nt
Filed under: uncultured Clavariaceae
Lineage: Eukaryota; Fungi; Basidiomycota; Agaricomycetes; Agaricales; Clavariaceae
Description: sequence contains ITS2
Rfam family: 5.8S ribosomal RNA (bases 1-52)
Source: RNAcentral